GUGGGAAUACCCCAAACUAUAGUUAGACGAGUGUGGGCGUACGUGAGUGUGCGAAGAGAAAGAAAAAAGUCCGCUGCAUAUCUGCAAGAACUUACAUAGAUCCAUGCGUGUUCAUAUCCGUCUGGUCCCCCGCGACAGCGGCUCAUCAACACGUUCCCACACUCCCUUCGUGGCUCGUCGCCCUCUGGACUCCAUUUCCCACAAGGCGAGUCACCUGUGCCGGCUCCUGGUAUGCAGCGGGCAGGGCCCCCUCCGAGGUCCAGUCCCGAGCCGAGCGCGGGCCGUCGGCGGAAGUGAGAGCCGGAAGUGCCUUGGACGUGUGCGGAGGCUGGCGGCUGGCGGCGCUGCCCGCCUGUGACGGGGGCCCGCGGCCGAGAAGUGAAGGGUGUAUUGCAUGCGAAGCACCACCUGUGUGGGCAGAUGAGACCUCCUGUGUGUGGGGACCCCAGCACAGACCUUGCCUGUGUCUGCAGUGUGACCUCAGACACAGAGCAUGAGCGGGGAAGGAGCAGAGAGAGGGAGACACAGAAUCUGAAGCAGGCUCCAGGCUCCGAGCUGUCAGCACAGAGCCUGACGCGGGGCUUGAACUCACGAACUGUAAGAUCAUGACCUAAGCCGAAGUCAGAUGCUCAACCGACUGAGCCACCCAGGCGCCCCAUGUGUAACACCAUUUGUGUGUGCAGAUGAGACUUCAG
This is a long non-coding RNA of Acinonyx jubatus (cheetah), 695 nucleotides long. RefSeq lists it as uncharacterized. The record is from RefSeq and is a predicted model, not a curated record. NCBI's taxonomy places the organism in Eukaryota, Metazoa, Chordata, Mammalia, Carnivora, Felidae. The transcript has 3 exons.